This 1356-nucleotide ribosomal RNA is filed under the name Triticum aestivum (bread wheat). RNAcentral describes it as "partial small subunit ribosomal RNA". Lineage: Eukaryota; Viridiplantae; Streptophyta; Magnoliopsida; Poales; Poaceae. The record is from RNAcentral.
AUGAGGGAGUGCAUCUCGAUCCACAUCGGCCAGGCCGGCAUCCAGGUCGGGAACGCGUGCUGGGAGCUCUACUGCCUCGAGCAUGGCAUUCAGCCUGAUGGCCAGAUGCCCGGUGACAAGACCGUUGGGGGAGGUGAUGAUGCUUUCAACACCUUCUUCAGCGAGACUGGUGCUGGGAAGCAUGUCCCCCGUGCUGUCUUUGUAGAUCUCGAGCCCACUGUGAUUGAUGAGGUGAGGACUGGUGCUUACCGCCAGCUCUUCCACCCUGAGCAGCUUAUCAGUGGCAAGGAGGAUGCAGCCAACAACUUCGCCCGUGGUCAUUACACCAUUGGCAAGGAGAUUGUUGAUCUGUGCCUUGACCGUAUCAGGAAGCUUUCAGACAACUGCACUGGUCUCCAGGGAUUCCUUGUAUUCAACGCUGUUGGAGGUGGAACUGGCUCUGGCCUUGGCUCGCUUCUCCUGGAGCGCCUCUCUGUUGACUAUGGAAAGAAGUCCAAGCUUGGGUUCACGGUGUACCCAUCUCCCCAGGUCUCCACCUCUGUUGUUGAGCCAUACAACAGUGUCCUGUCCACCCACUCACUCCUUGAGCACACUGAUGUCUCUAUCCUUCUUGACAAUGAGGCCAUCUAUGACAUCUGCCGCCGCUCCCUUGACAUUGAGCGCCCAACAUACACCAACCUCAACAGGCUUGUUUCUCAGGUCAUUUCAUCACUGACAGCUUCCCUGAGGUUUGAUGGUGCUCUGAAUGUUGAUGUCAAUGAAUUCCAGACCAACUUGGUGCCCUACCCGAGGAUCCACUUCAUGCUUUCCUCCUAUGCCCCAGUGAUCUCAGCUGAGAAGGCUUACCAUGAGCAGCUGUCCGUUGCUGAGAUCACCAACAGCGCCUUUGAGCCUUCGUCCAUGAUGGCCAAGUGCGACCCCCGCCACGGCAAGUACAUGGCCUGCUGUCUCAUGUACCGUGGUGAUGUUGUGCCAAAGGACGUCAACGCUGCUGUGGCCACCAUCAAGACCAAGCGCACUAUUCAGUUUGUUGACUGGUGCCCCACUGGCUUCAAGUGUGGUAUCAACUACCAGCCACCAGGUGUCGUCCCAGGCGGUGACCUUGCCAAGGUCCAGAGGGCUGUGUGCAUGAUCUCCAACUCCACCAGUGUCGUCGAGGUCUUCUCCCGCAUCGACCACAAGUUUGACCUGAUGUACGCCAAGCGUGCCUUCGUCCACUGGUACGUCGGUGAGGGCAUGGAGGAGGGAGAGUUCUCUGAGGCCCGUGAGGAUCUCGCUGCCCUGGAGAAGGACUAUGAAGAAGUUGGUGCUGAGUUCGACGAGGGUGAGGACGGUGAUGAGGGCGAUGAGUAUUAA